AUUGAACGCUAGCGGGAUGCUUUACACAUGCAAGUCGAACGGCAGCGCGGACUUCGGUCUGGCGGCGAGUGGCGAACGGGUGAGUAAUGUAUCGGAACGUGCCCAGUAGCGGGGGAUAACUACGCGAAAGCGUAGCUAAUACCGCAUACGCCCUACGGGGGAAAGCAGGGGGUCGUAAGACCUUGCACUAUUGGAGCGGCCGAUAUCGGAUUAGCUAGUUGGUGAGGUAACGGCUCACCAAGGCGACGAUCCGUAGCUGGUUUGAGAGGACGACCAGCCACACUGGGACUGAGACACGGCCCAGACUCCUACGGGAGGCAGCAGUGGGGAAUUUUGGACAAUGGGGGCAACCCUGAUCCAGCCAUCCCGCGUGUGCGAUGAAGGCCUUCGGGUUGUAAAGCACUUUUGGCAGGAAAGAAACGGCGCGGGCUAAUACCCCGUGGAACUGACGGUACCUGCAGAAUAAGCACCGGCUAACUACGUG
Molecule: ribosomal RNA, 484 nt
Filed under: uncultured bacterium
Lineage: Bacteria
Description: partial 16S ribosomal RNA
Rfam family: Bacterial small subunit ribosomal RNA
Source: RNAcentral